GAACUGUGAGGGUGUGUCGAGCUAGAGAGCAUGGUAGCUGAUGGCAGAAACUCUUUGAUUAGCGCCCUUGGAGAAGCGGAAUGAGUUUUCACGGUGUUCAUGGUGCAUGGUGCUCGUUGAGAGGAAGAAAUAAAUUGACACCCGUUUGAAACUCUCUGCGUCUUGAUCAAUAUAUCCGAGGGGCCGCUACAGUGAAAACUCAUCGCUGCACCAGCCCUGCCAUCCCUGGUGAGAAGCUGAUGCCAUCACAUCUGAAGUCCAACCACCAACCUAAUACCGGCCAGUUUACUUCGCUUGCAUCCAACUCCUGCACACAGGCAAGACUUAAAAUGGACAGCAUGCUUAAGGUACAGCUAGAGCUGCAAAAAGAGACACUGGGUGCCAAGGAGCAAAAAAGCUGAAAAGGGACAAUCUUUUACACACGCUUGCAGCAUAACUGAAGUGACUCAAAUAAUAAUAUGGUAUUAUAAGGUCAAAAUAUCUUGCAAGCUAAUUCUCAGUUCCUAACGCUUCUAAAACUGGUGACUAUUUCAAGAAACUAGCCCAUGCGCUUGGGUCAUGUCUGUUUAUGAAAAGGUUAAAAGGGUUGUUUUGUUGUUACUGUUUUAAGCUAAAAAUCCUUUUAGAUGUCCAUAAUCUGUUAAUGCGUGGCAUAAAUAUUACUCUGUGGUAAAGGAUAACUACAGCUUAUAAAUGUAAAUUCAGGCGUUGGACAAUCGAAGGCUACACUCGACUUAAAGCAGCAGCACAAACAAACAAGAUGUCACUUAAAGACAACCCAUGCAGGUCCAGCUCACGUGAAAGAAAGCUAACAGAGAAAGGCCAAGAGAUGCAUGACCAAGACACCAGAAAACGUGAGAAAGCAUUUAACAAGACCUAUGACGCUUGGAAGCUGGUAGCAAGGGAGACUAGGACAAAAUUAAAAACCCUCUGUUCAUCAGAAGACCUUAUUGAAUUACAGCAAGACAUUCAAGCAAAGCAUGAUGGCGUGUGCCAGCAGUAUGAACCUUUACUUCGUAACAGUAACACCACACCAGAGAUUGUAAAGAAGAUGGAUGCCUGUGUUACGCUAACAAAAGACAUUCGUGACCUUAUUAGUAACCGUCUAGAGACUAUUAAUCAAGAUUAUAAUGAUCAACUUGAGAAGGAAAGGGUAAGAGAAACAUUAAACAAAGAUGAAUAUGGGUCUGUCUUUGGCCACACUAAAACUGAAACGGUAAGCUCAGCGGAGUCACCGGAGAGAUUGAGCAACCACUCCAGCUCAACCAGUACCCACAGCAGUAGAGUAGAUGCACAAGCAGAGCUUGCGGCUAAGCUGGAACAAUCAAAAGCCAUGAAAGAAAUCCAAGCACAGCAAGCACAUCUUCACAAGUUAGAAGGUGAAUGGAAACUUAAAGAGGCAAAAAUGUUAGUAGAAAUGAAACAAAAAGAGUUGGAAAUGGAACAACAGUUGGAACAAGAGAGAACCAAAUUGCAGCAGUUACAAGCAGCAAAAGACGUUGCCAUAGCAGCAGCUCGUGUGAGAGCAUAUGACAAUUUUGAAGGGUUUGAGAACCAUGAUGAGGAGAUUAAUGACCAAACUAACUCUGCUUGCUACAGAAAGCAAAAUGAACCUCGAUUAAAUCCUGAUGCUGCAUCAUUCCAUCCACACCAAGCUGCUCCUGAGGUGACAAUGACCCAGGAGUCUGUCAGUCUAGCCCAGGUAAUCGCCAGCUCAUUAAGCAUGAACCGCUUGCCGGUCCCUGAACCAACCACGUUCCGUGGUGACCCUUUACAGUUUACAGAUUGGAGGAUGACAUUCAUAGCUCUUAUUGAUAGAAAACCCCUCCCACCAAGUGAGAAGAUGUUUUAUCUAAAAAAUUAUCUUGCUGGAGAGGCGCGCAAAGCGGUAGAAGGUUUCUUUUAUCGAGAUUCAGAAAGUGCAUACAAUGGAGCAUGGAAAGUUUUACAAGACAGAUAUGGGAACCCAUUCAUCAUACAAAAGGCUUUCAGAGAUAAGCUCAUGAGAUGGCCAAAGAUCAACACAAACGAUCCACUAGCACUACAAGAGUUCGCUGACUUCCUCCAAGGCUGCACUGAGGCGAUGCCCCACGUCAAAGGACUAGCUAUCCUUAACGAUUGUGAGGAAAACCACAAGUUGCUCAAAAAAUUACCAGAAUGGAUUGUGCGCAAGUGGAGUCGAAUUGUUGUAGAGGAACUUGACACAUCCGGAAGCUAUCCAGAUCUUGCAUGCUUCACAAACUUCCUGAGCAAAGAGGCACGGAUAGCCUGUAACCCUAUUGCUUCUCCAUUGUUGAUGAACUUCAGGUCCACAAAUGAAAGAUCACCAAAGAGAGCCAAAGCUCUCAACACAAAUACACAAACAAAGAGUUUCGCUCAGGAGAAACAAGAAACAAACGGCAGUAAACCAAAAUCACCUUGCUUCAUCUGUAAAAGUGAAGCUCAUAACAUCACCAAGUGCCCCACCUUCGCAGCAAAGAGUAGUGAAGACAAAAAAGCAUUCAUCUGUGAAAAUCGGCUCUGCUUUGGGUGCUUGAGGAAGGGUCACAUGACCAAAGAUUGUAAGAGACGACACACAUGCAGCAUAUGCAGCCGUCGUCACCCAACCUGCUUGCACGAUGACAGGAAACAAAGACCUGUGGAAGCAACAACGAAUAGCUCCACUUCCACAGAAAACCAUGCAAGCUUGGAAAUGCACAAUGUCGUAUCCCAUGCA
Cyprinus carpio carpio is the source of this 2716-nucleotide long non-coding RNA. The record is from Ensembl. Lineage: Eukaryota; Metazoa; Chordata; Actinopteri; Cypriniformes; Cyprinidae.